RNAcentral lists this long non-coding RNA (2342 nucleotides) under Oncorhynchus mykiss (rainbow trout). Its description in RNAcentral is "lncRNA (ENSOMYG00000051044.1)". Lineage: Eukaryota; Metazoa; Chordata; Actinopteri; Salmoniformes; Salmonidae. The record is from RNAcentral.
AUGUUAUGUAAGUCUGCUCCUGGGAAGGACUUGCUGGACCCCUCCACACUCCCAGGAAAACCAGGUACCCAGCAUCAUAUUGGAGUUGAUAGUGUGUCUAUCAGAGGAGGUCAGGAAUCAGAGGGAGGUGUAGAAGAAGGUGCAGGAGAAGAGCCAGCAUACAGCCAGGAUAGAAGAGAAGAUCCACAGGUUGAGAUGCCAGCUCUGGGAGGGAUCCUGAACAUGGAGGGUUCCCAGCCCUGUUGGACAGAGAAGCAACUCACUCAGAGACCGAACACCAAGCCAUACAGCAUGAGGUUAACCCUUAGUUAACUUGGUCAGAGAAAGGAAUUCAUCAUUUGUUAACAUUUGAAAUUGAUAUACAGGCUGCAUGUAAUGUUAUCUUCUGAAAUUUGACCUAAAACUAAUCUUGCAUGGUGGCCAUGUCUGAGUCUUGGAACAUGACCACAAACACAGCUCUUCAGUUAUACAGAGAAUUAAGUGGACAGUGAGACAACAGUUUACAGUGAGACAACAGUUUAUCACUUACUGAACAGAUGAGGGAAGUGGAGAGAACCAACAAACAGCUGACGAGGGAGUUAUAGGCUAGGAUCUCUUCUUGUGUGUUCACAUGGAGAUACAGUAUCAAACACAGCUUUAGAGCCUAAACUGGGGGAGGAUGAGCCCCCAAACCUAAAUCAACCCUUAGCCCUCACCCCCUGAGAUCUGAAAGGUUUGAAAAUGUGUGAGCAAUCCUGUCAAUUAAAGGUGAAACUUGUGUUGUAUGUAAUCCCAAUCAAUACUGUAUUUGUACUCUGCAGGUACAGUGAGUUCCUUGUGUAGAACUCUGUCCAUAAAGGAAGGAGAGCUGAUCACUGCUAAAGGCCAGCAGGAUGAGUUGAGACAGCGGCUGAAGAACCAGUUUGACCAGCUACAGGCCAUGUCCAGGAAGAUAGUAAAGGACAGGUUGGUUUAGCUACAGGCCAUGUCCAGGAAGAUAGUAAAGGACAGGUUGGUUCAGCUACAGGCCAUGUCCAGGAAGAUAGUAAAGGACAGGUUGGUUUAGCUACAGGCCAUGUCCAGGAAGAUAGUAAAGGACAGGUUGGUUUAGCUACAGGCCAUGUCCAGGAAGGUAGUAAAUGACAGGUUGGUUUAGCUACAGGCCAUGUCCAGGAAGAUAGUAAAGGACAGGUUGGUUUAGCUACAGGCCCUGUCCAGGAAGGUAGUAAAGGACAGGUUGGUUUAGCUACAGGCCAUGUCCAGGAAGAUAGUAAAGGACAGGUUGGUUUAGCUACAGGCCAUGUCCAGGAAGAUAGUAAAGGACAGGUUGGUUUAGCUACAGGCCAUGUCCAGGAAGUUAUGAACAUGCUUUGAGUGUGUAGAUUAGGUUAUAUCUAUAACUGUCAAUCAAACCUGGGUCAAAUAUGUAUUUCAAAUGAUUUAAAUAUUUAUGGGGGAAAUAUUGCAGGCUUAAGGAUUUAUACAAGCAUACAUCUUACUCUGUUAAUCUUAGCUUUGCGCUAUACCCUGAGAAAGCAGGAAAUGACUGGUUUCAUUAGACUUGUCUGACCCUGUUCAAGGGAGUCUGUACGGGAUACGGUUCCUGUUUUCUCAUGGUAUGUGAUGAAGUAUGAGAUGCUUAGCAACACUGCAAAAUGUGUAACCAUAUAUGGGCAUAUGGCUCUUUGCCAGCUGGCAAAGAUAGACGCUAAGGAAAGCUAUAAAAGACAAUUUAAAAUGUGUUUGGGGGCUCUUCGCUGUGCACCAUUUUGGGUCUAUGCUAACCAGCUACAUUUUUGCUAAUCUUAUUAAUAAAGAACUUUGCUGUUUGAGAGAACCUGCAACCUCUCUUGCUUUUCCCUUUAAUGUUUAGAAUUUCCACGACAUACUUCAGGUGCUCAUGAUUUAGUUUAACCAGCAGGCAGAGUUAGCACCUUUGGGACACUUCAGAUCUUUCCAUUGUGCCUAGAUCAAGCACACUUAAAGUCCUUUCAAAUACACUGUGAAUGUGACUUUUCUAAGAACUGCCUUUAAAUUCAGUUCUCUUGUUUACGGGAAGGUGUGAGGAACUCGUGAUAAUGCUGGAGGAGGAGAAUGGAACUUGUGAUAUGAUAACUUUGUUUAUAAGCUACACUUCCUCUUAAGGAUCAGACUCUUUUUUUCAAUUUUCGCCUAAAAUGACAGACCCAAAUCUAACUGCCUGAAGCUCAGGCCCUGAAGCAAGGAUAUGCAUUUUCUUGGUACCAUUUGAAAGGAAACACUUUGAAGUUUGUGGACAUGUGAAUCAGUGUAGAUGAAGGGAUGGUAGACAUGUUAAAGAAAGGUUUUUAAGCCUUGAGACAUAUUAGAAAUGGAUUGUGUAU